CCUACGGGAGGCAGCAGUGGGGAAUAUUGGACAAUGGGCGCAAGCCUGAUCCAGCAAUGCCGCGUGAGUGAUGAAGGCCUUAGGGUCGUAAAGCUCUUUUACCAGGGAUGAUAAUGACAGUACCUGGAGAAUAAGCUCCGGCUAACUCCGUGCCAGCAGCCGCGGUAAUACGGAGGGAGCUAGCGUUGUUCGGAAUUACUGGGCGUAAAGCGUACGUAGGCGGUUAUUCAAGUCAGAGGUGAAAGCCCGGGGCUCAACCCCGGAACGGCCUUUGAAACUAGGUAGCUAGAAUCUUGGAGAGGUCAGUGGAAUUCCGAGUGUAGAGGUGAAAUUCGUAGAUAUUCGGAAGAACACCAGUGGCGAAGGCGACUGACUGGACAAGUAUUGACGCUGAGGUACGAAAGCGUGGGGAGCAAACAGGAUUAGAUACCCUGGUAGUCCACGCCGUAAACGAUGAUAACUAGCUGUUCGGGCACUUGGUGCUUGAGUGGCGCAGCUAACGCAUUAAGUUAUCCGCCUGGGGAGUACGGUCGCAAGAUUAAAACUCAAAAUGAAAUUGACGG
This 563-nucleotide ribosomal RNA is filed under the name uncultured bacterium. RNAcentral describes it as "bacterial SSU rRNA". It matches the Rfam family "Bacterial small subunit ribosomal RNA", at positions 338 to 916 of the family's 1533-position model. The record is from RNAcentral.